AGCUUGCUACCUGACCUAGCGGCGGACGGGUGAGUAAUGCUUAGGAAUCUGCCUAUUAGUGGGGGACAACAUUCCGAAAGGAAUGCUAAUACCGCAUACGCCCUACGGGGGAAAGCAGGGGAUCUUCGGACCUUGCGCUAAUAGAUGAGCCUAAGUCAGAUUAGCUAGUUGGUGGGGUAAAGGCCUACCAAGGCGACGAUCUGUAGCGGGUCUGAGAGGAUGAUCCGCCACACUGGGACUGAGACACGGCCCAGACUCCUACGGGAGGCAGCAGUGGGGAAUAUUGGACAAUGGGCGAAAGCCUGAUCCAGCCAUGCCGCGUGUGUGAAGAAGGCCUUUUGGUUGUAAAGCACUUUAAGCGAGGAGGAGGCUACUUAGAUUAAUACUCUAGGAUAGUGGACGUUACUCGCAGAAUAAGCACCGGCUAACUCUGUGCCAGCAGCCGCGGUAAUACAGAGGGUGCGAGCGUUAAUCGGAUUUACUGGGCGUAAAGCGUGCGUAGGCGGCUUCUUAAGUCGGAUGUGAAAUCCCUGAGCUUAACUUAGGAAUUGCAUUCGGUACUGGGAAGCUAGAGUAUGGGAGAGGAUGGUAGAAUUCCAGGUGUAGCGGUGAAAUGCGUAGAGAUCUGGAGGAAUACCGAUGGCGAAGGCAGCCAUCUGGCCUAAUACUGACGCUGAGGUACGAAAGCAUGGGGAGCAAACAGGAUUAGAUACCCUGGUAGUCCAUGCCGUAAACGAUGUCUACUAGCCGUUGGGGCCUUUGAGGCUUUAGUGGCGCAGCUAACGCGAUAAGUAGACCGCCUGGGGAGUACGGUCGCAAGACUAAAACUCAAAUGAAUUGACGGGGGCCCGCACAAGCGGUGGAGCAUGUGGUUUAAUUCGAUGCAACGCGAAGAACCUUACCUGGUCUUGACAUAGUAAGAACUUUCCAGAGAUGGAUUGGUGCCUUCGGGAACUUACAUACAGGUGCUGCAUGGCUGUCGUCAGCUCGUGUCGUGAGAUGUUGGGUUAAGUCCCGCAACGAGCGCAACCCUUUUCCUUAUUUGCCAGCGGGUUAAGCCGGGAACUUUAAGGAUACUGCCAGUGACAAACUGGAGGAAGGCGGGGACGACGUCAAGUCAUCAUGGCCCUUACGACCAGGGCUACACACGUGCUACAAUGGUCGGUACAAAGGGUUGCUACCUAGCGAUAGGAUGCUAAUCUCAAAAAGCCGAUCGUAGUCCGGAUUGGAGUCUGCAACUCGACUCCAUGAAAUCG
This 1256-nucleotide ribosomal RNA is filed under the name uncultured Acinetobacter sp. Its description in RNAcentral is "bacterial SSU rRNA". It matches the Rfam family "Bacterial small subunit ribosomal RNA", at positions 77 to 1328 of the family's 1533-position model. The record is from RNAcentral. Lineage: Bacteria; Pseudomonadati; Pseudomonadota; Gammaproteobacteria; Moraxellales; Moraxellaceae.